This 569-nucleotide ribosomal RNA is filed under the name uncultured bacterium. RNAcentral's name for it is "bacterial SSU rRNA". It matches the Rfam family "Bacterial small subunit ribosomal RNA", at positions 8 to 570 of the family's 1533-position model. The record is from RNAcentral.
AGAGUUUGAUCCUGGCUCAGAUUGAACGCUGGCGGUAUGCUUAACACAUGCAAGUCGAACGCGAACGAGUUCUUCGGAACUUUAUUAGAGUGGCGGACGGGUGAGUAACGCGUAGGAACCUACCUGAUAGCGGGGAACAACCUGGUGAAAACCAGGCUAAUACCGCAUACGCCCUACGGGGGAAAGCAGGGGAUCUUCGGACCUUGCACUAUCAGAUGGGCCUGCGUCGGAUUAGCUAGUUGGUGAGGUAAUGGCUCACCAAGGCGACGAUCCGUAGCUGGUUUGAGAGAAUGAUCAGCCACACUGGGACUGAGACACGGCCCAGACUCCUACGGGAGGCCGCAGUGGGGAAUAUUGGACAAUGGGGGCAACCCUGAUCCAGCAAUACCGCGUGUGUGAAGAAGGCCCGAGGGUUGUAAAGCACUUUCACUUGUGAAGAAAAGCCUAAGGUUAAUAACCUUGGGUCUUGACGUUAACUUUAGAAGAAGCACCGGCUAACUCCGUGCCAGCCGCCGCCGGUAAUACGGAGGGUGCAAGCGUUAAUCGGAAUUACUGGGCGUAAAGCGCGC